UGGAAUGAUGAUGUCCAGAAGGCGCUUAAAGAGAAGAAAGAUUGCUUCAGACGCCUAUACCUGGAUAGGAGUGCAGACAACAUAGAGAAGUACAAGAUGACGAAGAAGGCCGCAAAGCGAGCUGUUGGUGAAGCAAGGGGUCGGGCAUAUGAGGACCUCUACCAACGGUUAGGCACGAAGGAAGGUGAAAGGGACAUCUAUAAGAUGGCUAAGAUCCGGGAGAGGAAGACGAGGGAUAUUGGCCAAGUCAAAUGCAUCAAGGACGGAGCAGGCCAACUCUUGGUGAAGGACGAAGAGAUUAAGCAUAGAUGGCGGGAGUACUUCGACAAGCUGUUCAAUGGGGAGAAUGAGAGUUCUACCAUUGAACUGAAUGACUCCUUUGAUGAGACCAGCAUGCGUUUUGUGCGGCGCAUCCAGGAGUCUGAGGUGAAGGAGGCUUUAAAAAGGAUGAAAGGAGGCAAGGCGAUGGGCCCUGAUUGUAUCCCCAUUGAGGUGUGGAAAGGUCUCGGGGACAUAGCGAUGGUAUGGCUAACCAAGCUUUUCAACCUCAUUUUUCGGGCAAACAAGAUGCCAGAAGAAUGGAGACGGAGUAUAUUAGUACCAAUCUUCAAGAACAAGGGGGAUGUUCAGAGUUGUACUAAUUAUCGUGGAAUUAAGCUGAUGAGCCAUACAAUGAAGCUAUGGGAGAGAGUCAUUGAGCACCGCUUAAGAAGAAUGACAAGCGUGACCAAAAAUCAGUUUGGUUUCAUGCCUGGGAGGUCGACCAUGGAAGCCAUUUUCUUGGUACGACAACUUAUGGAGAGAUAUAGGGAGCAUAAGAAGGACUUGCAUAUGGUGUUCAUUGACUUGGAGAAGGCCUAUGAUAAGAUACCGCGGAAUGUCAUGUGGUGGGCCUUGGAGAAACACAAAGUCCCAGCAAAGUACAUUACCCUCAUCAAGGACAUGUACAAUAAUGUUGUGACAAGUGUUCGAACAAGUGAUGUCGACACCGAUGACUUCCCGAUUAAGAUAGGACUGCACCAGGGGUCAGCUUUGAGCCCUUAUCUUUUUGCAUUGGUGAUGGAUGAGGUCACAAGGGGUAUACAAGGAGAUAUCCCAUGGUGUAUGCUCUUUGCGGAUGAUGUGGUGCUAGCUGACGAUAGUCGGAUGGGGGUAAAUAGGAAGUUAGAGUUAUGGAGACAAACCUUGGAAUCGAAAGGGUUUAGGCUUAGUAGAACUAAAACCGAGUACAUGAUGUGCGGUUUCAGUACUACUAGCUGUGAGGAGGAGGAGGUUAGCCUUGAUGGCAAGGUGGUACCUCGGAAGGACACCUUUCGGUAUUUGGGGUCAAUGUUGCAGGAGGAUGGGGGUAUUGAUGAAGAUGUGAACCAUCGAAUCAAAGCCGGAUGGAUGAAGUGGCGCCAAGCUUCUGGCAUUCUCUGUGACAAGAGAGUGCCACAAAAGCUAAAAGGCAAGUUCUACAGGACGGCGGUUCGACCCGCAAUGUUGUAUGGCGCGGAGUGUUGGCCGACUAAAAGGCGACAUGUUCAACAGUUAGGUGUGGUAGAGAUGCGUAUGUUGAGAUGGAUGUGUGGCCACACGAGGAAGGAUCGAGUCCGGAAUGAUGAUAUACGAGAUAGAGUUGGGGUAGCACCAAUUGAGGAGAAGCUUGUCCAACAUCGUUUGAGAUGGUUUGGGCAUAUUCAGCGCAGGCCUCCAGAAGCUCCAGUGCAUAGCGGACGGCUAAAGCGUGCGGAGAAUGUCAAGAGAGGGCGGGGUCGACCGAUUUUGACAUGGGAGGAGUCCGUUAAGAGAGACUUGAAGGAUUGGAGUAUCGACAAAGAGCUA
RNAcentral lists this ribosomal RNA (1827 nucleotides) under Triticum aestivum (bread wheat). RNAcentral's name for it is "partial small subunit ribosomal RNA". Lineage: Eukaryota; Viridiplantae; Streptophyta; Magnoliopsida; Poales; Poaceae. The record is from RNAcentral.